This 241-nucleotide long non-coding RNA is filed under the name Lathyrus oleraceus (garden pea). RNAcentral describes it as "Pisum sativum (pea) long non-coding RNA (PSAT_LNC027125)". The record is from RNAcentral. Lineage: Eukaryota; Viridiplantae; Streptophyta; Magnoliopsida; Fabales; Fabaceae.
UUAUUUAUAAUUAACCAUUCAUUUUUUCUUCUUCUUUAUACUCUACUAAAGUAAGAAAAACAUGAGAGUUUCUUUUCCUAAAUUAUUGUCUGCAUGAGUGGGUUUAUAGUCUUGACUUUAAGCUUCUUAAUUAUUUUUAUAACAAAUGUAAGAUACUUUGGCUUUUAUUCCAUUCACUUUCUCAUCACUAGUCACUAACUUGAUACUUGAUCUCACUUUCCAUGUCAAAAAAUAAUUUGAU